This is a non-coding RNA of Mycena polygramma, 99 nucleotides long. The record is from the annotation of a GenBank genome assembly. Lineage: Eukaryota; Fungi; Basidiomycota; Agaricomycetes; Agaricales; Mycenaceae.
GGCGUCAUAGCUCAGUUGGGAGAGCAGCAGACUGAAGUACAGACUAGCCGCCUCUAAAUCUUUAUCUGAAGGUCCCGUGUUCAAGCCACGGUGAUGCCA